CCACCACUAAGCCAGUGGUGAACUCCACAUACGCAUCCUUUGCUGAGGAUACGGUUAACGGAGCGAAAGCGACGUUCAACCUCAAAAGAAGCAGAGGGGGCUUAGUGGUGGGGUGACUGCGUACCUUUUGUAUAAUGGGUCAGCGACUUAUAUUCUGUAGCAAGGUUAACCGAAUAGGGGAGCCGGAGGGAAACCGAGUCUUAACCGGGCGUUAAGUUGCAGGGUAUAGACCCGAAACCCGGUGAUCUAGCCAUGGGCAGGUUGAAGGUUGGGUAACACUAACUGGAGGACCGAACCGACUAAUGUUGAAAAAUUAGCGGAUGACCUGUGGCUGGGGGUGAAAGGCCAAUCAAACCGGGAGAUAGCUGGUUCUCCCCGAAAGCUAUUUAGGUAGCGCCUCGUGAAUUCAUCUCCGGGGGUAGAGCACUGUUUCGGCUAGGGGGUCAUCCCGACUUACCAACCCGAUGCAAACUGCGAAUACCGGAGAAUGUUAUCACGGGAGACACACGGCGGGUGCUAACGUCCGUCGUGAAGAGGGAAACAACCCAGACCGCCAGCUAAGGUCCCAAAGUCAUGGUUAAGUGGGAAACGAUGUGGGAAGGCCCAGACAGCCAGGAUGUUGGCUUAGAAGCAGCCAUCAUUUAAAGAAAGCGUAAUAGCUCACUGGUCGAGUCGGCCUGCGCGGAAGAUGUAACGGGGCUAAACCAUGCACCGAAGCUGCGGCAGCGAACGUAUCACCCAAGACAACUUUACGGAGUUGACGAUUGAUGGAGCGAAGCGACGUCAAAGCGUUCAUUAAAGUCGAGUUGGCUUAGGGAUACGUUCGUUGGGUAGGGGAGCGUUCUGUAAGCCUGUGAAGGUGGCCUGUGAGGGUUGCUGGAGGUAUCAGAAGUGCGAAUGCUGACAUAAGUAACGAUAAAGCGGGUGAAAAGCCCGCUCGCCGGAAGACCAAGGGUUCCUGUCCAACGUUAAUCGGGGCAGGGUGAGUCGACCCCUAAGGCGAGGCCGAAAGGCGUAGUCGAUGGGAAACGGGUUAAUAUUCCCGUACUUGGUGUUACUGCGAAGGGGGGACGGAGAAGGCUAUGUUGGCCGGGCGACGGUUGUCCCGGUUUAAGCGUGUAGGUGUGUGUUCCAGGUAAAUCCGGUUCACUUUAACACUGAGGCGUGAUGACGAGGCACUACGGUGCUGAAGCAACAAAUGCCCUGCUUCCAGGAAAAGCCUCUAAGCAUCAGGUAACAUCAAAUCGUACCCCAAACCGACACAGGUGGUCAGGUAGAGAAUACCAAGGCGCUUGAGAGAACUCGGGUGAAGGAACUAGGCAAAAUGGUGCCGUAACUUCGGGAGAAGGCACGCUGACACGUAGGUGAAGUGAUUUACUCAUGGAGCUGAAGUCAGUCGAAGAUACCAGCUGGCUGCAACUGUUUAUUAAAAACACAGCACUGUGCAAACACGAAAGUGGACGUAUACGGUGUGACGCCUGCCCGGUGCCGGAAGGUUAAUUGAUGGGGUCAGCGCAAGCGAAGCUCCUGAUCGAAGCCCCGGUAAACGGCGGCCGUAACUAUAACGGUCCUAAGGUAGCGAAAUUCCUUGUCGGGUAAGUUCCGACCUGCACGAAUGGCGUAAUGAUGGCCAGGCUGUCUCCACCCGAGACUCAGUGAAAUUGAACUCGCUGUGAAGAUGCAGUGUACCCGCGGCAAGACGGAAAGACCCCGUGAACCUUUACUAUAGCUUGACACUGAACAUUGAGCCUUGAUGUGUAG
RNAcentral lists this ribosomal RNA (1761 nucleotides) under Salmonella enterica subsp. enterica serovar Norwich. RNAcentral describes it as "partial 23S ribosomal RNA". It matches the Rfam family "Bacterial large subunit ribosomal RNA", at positions 1 to 2141 of the family's 2925-position model. The record is from RNAcentral. Lineage: Bacteria; Pseudomonadati; Pseudomonadota; Gammaproteobacteria; Enterobacterales; Enterobacteriaceae.